Eriocheir sinensis (Chinese mitten crab) is the source of this 1102-nucleotide long non-coding RNA. RefSeq lists it as uncharacterized. Lineage: Eukaryota; Metazoa; Arthropoda; Malacostraca; Decapoda; Varunidae. The record is from RefSeq and is a predicted model, not a curated record. The transcript has 2 exons.
UACCCGGCCUGCCACAACCUUCUAUAGUGUGUAAGACUUGCAGGGUAGAGAGUAGAGCCAGUGCUGGAGACGGAGGAGGAAUUUGAACAACCAUGAAAGGUUUGUGGCAUUACAAAAGCAUGAUACUUAAGAAAUAUAGAUAUCUCAUCCAUAAGAUAGACCCAUAACUUAAAGGUAAACUAGAGGAGGUCAUUAUUGUGAAAACUGGCAAUUGUGUAGCAUCAUAAUUGCCAUCAUCAUUUAAAUUACCAAAUAAGCAGGUGAGGUGGUGGAGACCUUGCCAACAGAAAAACCACAUAGGGCAAGCUGACUAAGAGUAGAUUUCUGGGUGGGUGUGCAUGACUUUUGUGGCCAUUCUCUGCAUUACUCAGAAGACUAGCUGAGGAAGAGGAGUGUCAGGGAACAGCUGUGAAGAAUCUUUGUAAGGUCAUCCACAAGGGGGCAGCAGGAGAGGCUAAAAGGCACACACAAAUGGUUAGGUAUUGAGGGAAGAGUAGAUUCAUGUGUCCAGCACCUCUCAUGACUCAGGGCACGGACCAUUGGAGUGGCAGCUGUGAUUAGGAGAGAGCAAUAUAACUGUAGUGUCAGGAGGAGUCUUAUAAGAUCCUCUGUGUGUAGUGGUUAGGUAUUGACGGAAGAGUAGAUUCAUGUGUCCAGCACCUCUCAUGACUCAGGGCACGGACCAUUGGAGUGGCGGCUGUGAUUAGGAGAGAGCAAUGCAGCUGUAGUGUCAGAAGGAGUAUUAUAAGAUCCUCUGUGUGUAGUGGUUACAUAUUACAGAAGAAUUAUACCAGAAAAUGAUAAAACAUGAGGGUAGGGCAUGUCUAUUUAUUUAUUUAUCUUUUUAUAUAUAUAUUUUUAGGCAAUAAAUAUGUUUUUGUAAAUUUUGUGCUAACCUUGUGAUGAGAAUGUGAUGCAGUUUUGUGGCAUGAGCAAGAAAUGCUUUGUGCUGUGCAGUGGCAAUGUUGUAAGUUUGUAAGCAGUGAGGCUGGUGUGUGUCCGAGGGCUGCCUGAAGCUCACCACUGUUGGGGACUCGCUGCUCCUCCAGGGCUUCCGUAUACUUUCCUUAUUCUGACCAGGUCCAGCCUUGCCUUCAUGAGC